Long non-coding RNA from Musca domestica (house fly), 281 nucleotides. RefSeq lists it as uncharacterized. The record is from RefSeq and is a predicted model, not a curated record. NCBI's taxonomy places the organism in Eukaryota, Metazoa, Arthropoda, Insecta, Diptera, Muscidae. The transcript is spliced from 2 exons.
UAAUGGAGCCACUGCGUUGUAAACGGAUUUAAACACAACUUUGAUUUGAAUACCAAUUUAGUAUCGUAAAAACAUUUUCCCAAACAUGAAGUUCACCCUGACUCUGAGCCUUGCUCUGGCAAUAUUGACUGGUUGGGCAUCGGCAUCAAAUCAUGGUCCACCACCAUUCUUUCCGGCACCAUAUCGAAAAUGAACAAAAAAAUGAAUUAUUAAUAAAUAAACUGUUUUCUAAAUAUUUUAGUUUCAAAUCGAUGUCAAUAUACUAUAUUCUAAAUGAUUAA